GUCCAUCACAACAAUGAUCCCCGCACACCCGCAGCAAGGCAACUCCCUUGUCACGGAGUGCGUGCUGCUCCUGCCUGUCCUGGGAGGCUCCCAGCCGUGGCAUCCUGCAGUGACUUGCACACGUCUCCUGGUCCACAUGAAUGCCGGACUUCCAGGCAGCCACACCACACUGCGUCUGGAGCCCAGAGCCGACAGCAGGUGGAGACUGGCACAGGAGAGGGUGUGGACAGCGGCCGGUACUGAGCCACAGCGCUGGCGGAGGGGCCUCCAGGAGGAGCUCUCCAGGCUCUGGGGUCUUCUGAGGGGACCACGGACUCCCUGA
This 322-nucleotide long non-coding RNA is filed under the name Chinchilla lanigera (long-tailed chinchilla). Its description in RNAcentral is "lncRNA (ENSCLAG00000028892.1)". The record is from RNAcentral. Lineage: Eukaryota; Metazoa; Chordata; Mammalia; Rodentia; Chinchillidae.